GAAGCUUGACAAGUGUCCUACCGUCGG
RNAcentral lists this non-coding RNA (27 nucleotides) under Rattus norvegicus (Norway rat). The record is from RNAcentral. Lineage: Eukaryota; Metazoa; Chordata; Mammalia; Rodentia; Muridae.